AACGAACGCUGGCGGCAGGCCUAACACAUGCAAGUCGAGCGAGGACUUCGGUCCUAGCGGCGGACGGGUGAGUAACGCGUGGGAACGUGCCCUUUGCUUCGGAAUAGCCCUGGGAAACUGGGAGUAAUACCGGAUGAGCCCUUUGGGGGAAAGAUUUAUCGGCGAAGGAUCGGCCCGCGUUGGAUUAGGUAGUUGGUGGGGUAAUGGCCUACCAAGCCGACGAUCCAUAGCUGGUUUGAGAGGAUGAUCAGCCACACUGGGACUGAGACACGGCCCAGACUACUACGGGAGGCAGCAGUGGGGAAUCUUAGACAAUGGGGGAAACCCUGAUCGAGCCAUGCCGCGUGAGCGAUGAAGGCCUUAGGGUUGUAAAGCUCUUUCAGCUGGGAAGAUAAUGACGGUACCAGCAGAAGAAGCCCCGGCUAACUCCGUG
RNAcentral lists this ribosomal RNA (433 nucleotides) under uncultured bacterium. Its description in RNAcentral is "partial 16S ribosomal RNA". It matches the Rfam family "Bacterial small subunit ribosomal RNA", at positions 29 to 507 of the family's 1533-position model. The record is from RNAcentral.